GGUUUGGUAUGCAGUCUGAUAACCUUUUCUCUCCUUUUCUUUCUUUCUAAGCCUCCCAAACACUGAGCUAGCUGAGCAAUAUGUGCAUUGAUCUCAUCAUCCAUGUGAACAGCCCUGGUGAGGGUACUACUGCCAAGGGAAGUGAACUUCUCCACAGAAUUCCACAUUUCUCCAUAUACUGUCAUCAAUGGUUCCAUGUGUGGAUAAUGUGGCACUAGCUGAUGGAGGACUUCUGUUUUUUUGGUGUGAAUUGUCAGGCUCAAAUCAAGCCAUAUUCUGUUGCAUCUGUGUCUCAGAAGCUGUAUGGAGGACAAGACCACCUUUGAACAAAAAGUCUAGCACCAACACCCUCUCCAUCGGUUUUAAGAUAGAAGUUUAACAAAUAGCACUGAAAGAUGAGAGAUGAAAGAAGGAGCCGGAUGAGGAGAGGUGGGGCAUGAUGCUGGCUGAUGUGAAGACAAAGAAUCUUUUGGCUGUGGUGCUUAUGAGAAUUAUGAUAAAUGCAGCCAAAGAGAGAGAAGCAAGGGUCUUCAGGGUGCUCAACCCACUGCUUCAGCUACAGGGAGAGGAAUUGAGGAUAAACCAAGAGUCUGGACAGCAACAGCCGGUGGCCUAGAUACUGUUUUGAGGGGGAGUCACCCUCCUUCCCCAAGCUCCCGGCCUCAUUGGUCCUGCCCUCCCUCUCACCUAGUGGUCCCGGCAGCCUCAGCGGACCGACAACAGAAGAGAGAGGAACGAAGUAGAAGAGCGACGACCAGAAUGGAGAUGCGGUGGGCAGCUGGCGGCAACUCGGUCCUCCCUGACGUGGGGAGCCAUGAACAUUUUUUUCUCUUAUUGAACAUCCUGUUGCCCCACCCUAGGCAACCAUGCUGUCACUCUUAGAGCCAGAGAACAGAAGUCCUUCCUCUCGGGACUCGUAGGAGCCUUUCUGGAGCCAGAAGAGGCCACGGCUACCUCGUUUUUCUGGGCAAGCCCUAUAGACCCAAAUUGGGAUUGAGGAAGUCAAACAGAUUAGCAAGUGCCUCUUUGCAGGACCAAGAGACUCUUUGCUCUAGGACUGAAUGCACUUCGGGGUUCCUUUAAUUAAGUAAGGGGUUUUCUGGUGUAUUUAGAAGAGGAUCUGAUUCAGACCAUUCACGGCUUUUCUAGAAGAGCUAUAUUAAAAAGCUAGGGCCAUCACAGCCUGGAGAAAGGGAAAAUGGCAGAUUAUGAGCUACUGUGGCUAGGGGAGAAUUCUCUUUUUAUUUAAUCUCAGGGUAGGAGCUUUGGGAAGCACUUCAGCUAAAGGGGAGCUGGAGCUGUUUAUGUUUCAAUGGAAAUGUGAGUCUUAAGUGUUUUAAAAGUAUGCUGGAAGGCAGGUGUGGGUUGAUUCUGGCCCAGGGCCAGGGAAAGGGGUGUAAGAUGAUCUACAAGUACCUGGAGGAGCAGGGGGCUGGGAGAAACCAGAGUAGAAAAACACUGAAAUUAAGAUGGAUGAGAAGGACUGGAGAAUGGAAUUAGGAGGGCAAAGAGGGAGGCAAGAGGGUCCAGGCUAGCAGGGGGCAAGAAUGCUCAAGCCAGCACCAGUAAACAAAUGACAAAUUAAUUAAUUGAUUGUUAAUCAACAAUUUAUUAAGCCCC
Molecule: long non-coding RNA, 1620 nt
Filed under: Monodelphis domestica (gray short-tailed opossum)
Lineage: Eukaryota; Metazoa; Chordata; Mammalia; Didelphimorphia; Didelphidae
Description: lncRNA (ENSMODG00000039484.1)
Source: RNAcentral